CCUACGGGUGGCAGCAGUGGGGAAUAUUGCACAAUGGGCGCAAGCCUGAUGCAGCCAUGCCGCGUGUGUGAAGAAGGCCUUCGGGUUGUAAAGCACUUUCAGCGGGGAGGAAGGCGGUGAGGUUAAUAACCUCAUCGAUUGACGUUACCAGCAGAAGAAGCACCGGCUAACUCCGUGCCAGCAGCCGCGGUAAUACGGAGGGUGCAAGCGUUAAUCGGAAUUACUGGGCGUAAAGCGCACGCAGGCGGUCUGUCAAGUCGGAUGUGAAAUCCCCGGGCUCAACCUGGGAACUGCAUUCGAAACUGGCAGGCUAGAGUCUUGUAGAGGGGGGUAGAAUUCCCGGUGUAGCGGUGAAAUGCGUAGAGAUCUGGAGGAAUACCGGUGGCGAAGGCGGCCCCCUGGACAAAGACUGACGCUCAGGUGCGAAAGCGUGGGGAGCAAACAGGAUUAGAUACCCCAGUAGUC
Molecule: ribosomal RNA, 465 nt
Filed under: uncultured Klebsiella sp.
Lineage: Bacteria; Pseudomonadati; Pseudomonadota; Gammaproteobacteria; Enterobacterales; Enterobacteriaceae
Description: bacterial SSU rRNA
Rfam family: Bacterial small subunit ribosomal RNA
Source: RNAcentral